This 29-nucleotide non-coding RNA is filed under the name Mus musculus (house mouse). Lineage: Eukaryota; Metazoa; Chordata; Mammalia; Rodentia; Muridae. The record is from RNAcentral.
UGCUGUGAGCGCUUAUAUAAGCAGUGCGG